Long non-coding RNA from Panicum virgatum (switchgrass), 1415 nucleotides. RefSeq lists it as uncharacterized. The record is from RefSeq and is a predicted model, not a curated record. The transcript is spliced from 4 exons. Lineage: Eukaryota; Viridiplantae; Streptophyta; Magnoliopsida; Poales; Poaceae.
GAGGUCAUCCUUGCGCGCGGCCGGUUGGCCGCCUUGUUCCGCGUCUCCGCUCCUCAUCGUGCCACCCCGCCUUUAUCUUCUCCUGAUGCCACCUUCCCUAAUGGUCCACCACUGCUAGAAUCGGUGGUGCUGCUCGGGGCGGCUGCGAAAGAGAUAGCUCAUGGCCACGGCAGACCACCGCGGAGGGAGCGAAGCGGGGCAGCAAGAUAUUCUUCUCCCAGCGAGCCGGUGGUGUACAGCUCAAUCAAAGUGCUGUGCAAAAAAGUAAGAGAAACAAGCAAUCUGAAUUACAUUCUCACGUAACCAUAAACCAUUCAAGAUCACUCCAAGUUCUGUGCAAAAAAAAGGUAAGAGAAACAAAAUCUUGCUCAUUUUAUACAUAAAAUAUUUCGCUACAAUCUGAAUUACAUUCUCAUAUAACCAGACAAGAUCACUUAGAUGCAUUCAACUAGGAAAAAUAUUGAUUAAAUAAAUAAGUACUAUAUUUCCAUCUGUUUUUACCUUUUAACUCUAUGGUUCUGAGCAUGGAAACUAUUCAAAAUAAACCUCUAAUCUGUGAUAUUUGUGCAACACUUAUGUGCACCUCGACGAGGCCCAUACCCAUGCACCCUGCUCCCACCACCAGUGCGUUCAUCAUCUUCAUACAGGCAAGCAAAAUCUCAAUUCACAGAUAUGUGCUACCUCUCCAGUCAUAUGCACACUAGAUGUUUGUGCGAAUGCUUCCGUGAGUAUUAUCAACUAAAGUUGGACAUGCUACCAUUUCAGCUCCUAGCAUCUCGACUUCAUUUCAUAUGUACGAUGUAGGAAUGUUCAACUUAAUGUUACCUAACUGAACAUUUCUACUCAAUUAUCUUUUAGUCAAUUUUCAGGAAAACCCCUGAUAUCAAACCUGAACAGGAGGCAGCGAAUUACCUAGGAACAAGCAUCAAGAACUGAUCCCAAAUAAGUAAAGAGCAGGAGUAAAAAAGAGGCAGUCCUGAGAUGAUAUAUCUUAUUUCUGCAAUAUGACAUGACCACAUCAGUCCUAUGAGCCUUUUAAAAAUAGGACACAGUUAGAAGUCUGAACAUCAUAUACAAGGAGGAGGAUGUACCACUAUGAGCGAUCAGAGGAAAUUGGAGACAACCCGCCCCAGGCCAUGGAAUACUUGCGUAGCACAGGGAUUCGGGCGUGUAUACAUCCCAUUUUUUCCCGACGCAAUUUCGGGCGCGUUUAGUUCAAAUGCAGAACAAACUAAAUGGAGCUUUGCAUAGAUAUACUUGUGAACUGUUUUAGUACAUCGCUUUGUUUUUGUAGUAGCAUUAAGUAAAAUUUGAGCUUAAUCUUCUGCAUAUUUAACCAAAUAUUUGACCAUAAACAGUCAUCAGUCUACUACUGUCAACUAUAUUUCGAAUAUCAAUCCCUCUAUUUAACUGAA